UACAGAGGGUGCAAGCGUUAAUCGGAAUUACUGGGCGUAAAGCGCACGUAGGCGGUUUGUUAAGUUGGAUGUGAAAGCCCCGGGCUCAACCUGGGAAUUGCAUUCAAAACUGGCCAACUAGAGUAUGUGAGAGGGGGGUAGAAUUCCAAGUGUAGCGGUGAAAUGCGUAGAGAUUUGGAGGAAUACCAGUGGCGAAGGCGGCCCCCUGGCACAAUACUGACGCUGAGGUGCGAAAGCGUGGGGAGCAAACAGG
This 253-nucleotide ribosomal RNA is filed under the name uncultured bacterium. RNAcentral's name for it is "partial 16S ribosomal RNA". It matches the Rfam family "Bacterial small subunit ribosomal RNA", at positions 524 to 776 of the family's 1533-position model. The record is from RNAcentral.